GAUGAACGCUGGCGGCGUGCCUAAUACAUGCAAGUCGAGCGAACGGACGAGAAGCUUGCUUCUCCGAUGUUAGCGGCGGACGGGUGAGUAACACGUGGAUAACCUACCUAUAAGACUGGGAUAACUUCGGGAAACCGGAGCUAAUACCGGAUAAUAUUUUGAACCGCAUGGUUCAAAAGUGAAAGACGGUCUUGCUGUCACUUAUAGAUGGAUCCGCGCUGCAUUAGCUAGUUGGUAAGGUAACGGCUUACCAAGGCAACGAUGCAUAGCCGACCUGAGAGGGUGAUCGGCCACACUGGAACUGGGACACGGUCCAGACUCCUACGGGAGGCAGCAGUAGGGAAUCUUCCGCAAUGGGCGAAAGCCUGACGGAGCAACGCCGCGUGAGUGAUGAAGGUCUUCGGAUCGUAAAACUCUGUUAUUAGGGAAGAACAUAUGUGUAAGUAACUGUGCACAUCUUGACGGUACCUAAUCAGAAAGCCACGGCUAACUACGUG
This 497-nucleotide ribosomal RNA is filed under the name uncultured bacterium. Its description in RNAcentral is "partial 16S ribosomal RNA". It matches the Rfam family "Bacterial small subunit ribosomal RNA", at positions 28 to 507 of the family's 1533-position model. The record is from RNAcentral.